Molecule: long non-coding RNA, 4336 nt
Filed under: Coffea arabica (coffee)
Lineage: Eukaryota; Viridiplantae; Streptophyta; Magnoliopsida; Gentianales; Rubiaceae
Description: long non-coding RNA (CARA_LNC000804)
Source: RNAcentral
UUUUUUUUUUUUUUUUUUUUUUUUUUUGGUUGUGGAAGGGAUAGCUUCAAAAACCCUUCAUUGAACUUUUUUGACAAAUUUGUUUGGCAUCCUGGAGAUUUCAAAUAUUACACCUACAACCCCUAUUUUGACUUUUAAUGCAACAAUGACAACCCAUGUCCAUGAACAGCUAGAAAUUGGCAACUCCUUGUUGGAAAUUAAUUUGAAAGCUUCAGCCCACAUUAGCAGGUCAGUAACUGGUACAAGGCUUUCGUAGUUUUUUUUUUUAAGGGAUAGCUUCAAAAACCUUCUCUAAGAUUUUUGACAAGUUCAUAUUGCUUCCCUUGAAAUUUCAAAUAUAAUACCUACAACCCUAUUUUGACUUUUAAUGUAACAACGUCAACCCAUGUCCAUAAACAAUUCAUAUAAAAUGCUAAAAAGUACCUUCAUUCCCAACCAAAAAAAAAAAAAAGGCAAUUCAUUAAAUGGUGCCUUCAUUUCUAGGGCGUAUAAAGAAGAAUACAACAAAUUCAACCAAACAAUGACAAUUCGUUAAAAAAUGAGCAAAUUUUAUAUUGAAAAAUUACUCAUGGCAUGGUAUAGCGAGUUAGAUACAUUUGAACUAAACCAUUAGAAGGAAUUAAAAUCUAAAUAUUGAUGCCUGAAAAUACUUUAUUUUUCCGAACCAUCAAACCUAUCCCUCUCCCCAAUGCUUGAAAAUACUUAGUAUAACAAGAAUUUGAAAUCACAAAUUCAACAUUUUUUUUAAAAAGGCUUGAAAUUGUAAAAGAAAGAAAAAGAAAUGGGCGCAUUCCCUAUUAGUAAUAACAAAGUCGACCAAACUGCCACACUUUUUUUGGCAAGUCACAUUAUCAAAUUCAAUAGCAUUUAAAAAAAAAAAAGAUAUCUUAAUUUGACGAACAAAAUUUGAUAUUUUUCUCAAGUAUUUCUUUGUGUGAAAUUUUAUUUAUUUAAUUCUCUCAAUGACCUUUUUAAAAUUUUCCUUUUUUUUUUAAUUACUUUGUUAUGAUGUUAGCCUAUAAUAAUUUGUAAGAUCAGAUCAUUUUCUUUUUAUUGCAUUUUUAUAGUUCUUCUUUUUUCAGUUUAAUCUGUUAUGUUAGUAUGCUUGGAUGUUUAAGAAAGAAAAUGCUUUUCAGCCUUUCAUAUCAUUCAGAUAUAUCAGCUGACUUUGUUACAUAUAAAAUUCAAGAUAAUGUAGGUAAGUGUAAUAUUUAAAACUAUUGGGGAGUCAAGUAAACUUGUUGGAAACCUCGAAGGAGAUCUCUGAAAUUAUCCUCUCUUUUUUUUUUUGGCACACCAAAACUUAAGAUCCACAAUGACGGGCAAAGAAAAUCGUAGCAUACAGGUCCGUGAAUUGAAUGGUGGAAAACCCAACCAAGAGGCCCAAGACGCCAAGUCUGAUCUCAUCCUUCUCACUAGAAACACUCAGGACUUAAUCAACAGAAAAUUAUGCUCUCAUUGGGACGGUUAGUAGGAUCGAGCCUUAAGUUUAACUGGAUCAUAUACAAUUUAGAACUUGGACUUACAUAUACAUUUGGAUUUAAUUUAAUUGUGGGUCAAGUCUAAGCUUUACGAUAAAGUACAGCCUGAAUAAUUUAAUAUAUAAACAUGUGUUAUAUGUAUAAUAAUGUAAACAGUAUAUAAUUAUCCAUAUUAUUAGUAUACAAAAAAUUUGAUAAAUUUUUUUUUUGUUUUUAAAAAAGGAUCUAUAGUGGUUGCUCAAUUAUCUCCUCAAAGACUCUGCUUGUGACCUCUCAAUUACAUAUAAAAUCUCUUAUUAAUUAGAUUGCGCUUCAUUGUCACAAAAAACAAUUAAUAGCUUAUAUAUUAUUAUAUAUAUUUGUGACCUCUCAAUUACAGGUAAAAUCUCUUAUUAAUUAGAUUGCGCUUCAUUGUCACAAAAAAAAAUUAAUAGCUUAUAUAUAUAUAUAACUAUGGGCAUGUUUGGAACCUGAGUUUUUUUAGGAGUUUGUCUAAAACUUUACUGUAGUGCACUGUAGAAAUUUUUUAAAAAAUUUUGUAAAAAUUUUUGUAAGGUGAAAAAUUUUGUAGAAGUUUUUGUAAGGUGAAAAACUUUUUUUUUUCUUUUUUUUCUCUUUCCCUUUCUUUUUCUUUUUCUUUCUUUCCUCUCUUUUUUUUCUUCUUCUUCUUCUUUUUCCCCGUUACCUCCGCUACCCCCAGCUGCAACUCCACCUCCCGCCGCCCUGCCUUCCCCCUCCCCCAGCCGCCUCUCUUUCCCCCGUCUUUCCCCUUUCCCCGCCGCCUCUCUCUCCCCCCCCUCCCCCUCCCCCGCAGCCCCCUCUGCUCCUUCCCUCUCUCCCCCGCCGUCCCCCUCCCCGCCUUCCCCCUCCCCCUCCUCCCGCCACCUCUCUCUCUCCCGCCUUCCCCCUCUUCCCGCCGUCCCCGUCUGCCCCUUCUCCCUCUGCCCCUCUCUGCGCCACCCCCCUAUGCGCCGGACGUAGAGAGAAAAAAAAAAGACAAGAGAGGAUGAUGGCAGGGGAGGAAGAGGGGGAGAGGGAAAAAAAGGAGGAAAAAAAAAAAGACCGACACCGGCACCGGCACCGGAAAUUGGUGAUGGAACCGGCAAUGGAGGUGGUGGUGGGAGAGGAAGAAAAAGAAAAGGGGAAGAGAAAUUUUUUUUUUUUUUGUGUUUUGGAUAUUUUAAGUGUGUAGGUUAAAAAUUUUGAUAAGUUUUUUGAGAUUUCUGUAGCAAAAAUUGUUAAAAAACUAGUUUUAUACAAACUUGGUAAAAAACCAAGCUUCCAAACCGGGCCUAUGUUUUAAUUGUGUACUUGAAAGGAGCCCGACCUAAACCCAAAACUCCAAGAUAUAUAUGUGAGUCGCGCAGCACAAGUUGUACUUGACUUGCCAGUGUGACAUGGGAGUAUGGGACCUCACUGACCGCCUCUUUUCAGUGUACGUAACCCAUGUCAAGGAAAUUAAUGUCUUGGGAUGCAGGUUUCCAACGGAAAAUGUUGGUCCAAUUUUCAAACCAAAUUUAACAAUACUCUGUCUGGCUUUUUUUUAAUCCUUUUUAGGCCCCCCUGGAAGCAAGCAGCAACUAAUUGGUCCAUGACAAGAAUAAACACGCACAUGAUGAGAGCGGUCUAGUAGGUGACUAUUUUUUGGGCCAUGGAUGAAAAGACACCAUCCCACACUCAAGCGGGAAUGAAGAGAAGAGGACGGGCGGGCAUUUUUUCAGAAACCAAAUUGUCGCCGAAACAAAAGAAAAAAAAGAAGAAGAAGAGAAUCCAAUCCCACCCCAAAGCCUCCGGAUUUGGUCCCCCCAACCCCUCUUCAAGAGUCAAGACUCUUGGAACUAUGAAUAUAACCGCACACUGGAUAAAGAGCCGGAGGCGGAGAGAACAGAAACGUACAAUAAACUCGGAUUCGAAAUGUAAUGUGUCCUAAUUAAUUAAUUAAUUUGGAUUGGGAUGUGACUCGAACUCGAAUUCGCUCGCUCAAGAGUUGGUGUUGUGCUCAGCGUUCACCUGAGGCUGCAGAAUGUUGGGGGAUUCCACUUCCAUUCCACCUGAUGUGACGGCACCACAAACAAUGGAUAUCGUAGGAAAAUGCCACACAAUUCCACCUGGGUACAAUUAAAAUAUUCACACAUGUAACUUACCUUGCCCCACAACCUAACUCGUUCUCAAGCAAGCAUCCAAUUCAGGCAUUUGAACCUGACGAAGACUAACCAUUCGCAUACCAACCAACCAUCCAUCCAGCUUAAGACAAAUUCAAACAUCUUUUUUUUUUCUCUCUCUCUCUUUAAAUUAAUAAAUUAAUAAAUUAAAACUGCAUCUACUUUCCUGAUAAAAUAAAAAAAUAAAAAAAAAAAAAAACCUGCCUGGCAUCUUAAAAGUUAUUUUUCCGGUUCAGACCCGACACAACAAUCGUCUGCCAGCCUCCUUGUUUUUACCUUAUCUAUGGAUGUCAUCGGGGAAUGGAACGGAGGAGUCUUUUGGGCAUGCAAUCAAUUAUCAGCUGUAAGGACUGCUGAGAACUAGCAGCAUCUGCUACCCUCAAAACCUUCGCGCAGUAGAUAAUCCAAGAAAUAAAAUACUACUACAGCCAAGUGAAACCCAACCUAGGCAGAAAUUUAACAUGAAGAUUAAUUUUUUGACAGCCUGAAUUCCUUGAACACGGAGAUCUUAUCAUACAGGACAAUGGGCUAUUGGUAGAAACAUCGCAAAUUCUCAGAAACUCGUCAAAAGAAUCUGCACUAAUGUAUGCUCCCAGACCUAACAAGGUUCAAAAUCCAACUUCCUUUUUUUCUUCUUUUUUUUUUUCACCAGACGCUCGCUCCCCUGUACCUCAAGCUUGAACAAGUGCGAUA